RNAcentral lists this transfer-messenger RNA (371 nucleotides) under Ruminococcus sp. It matches the Rfam family "transfer-messenger RNA". From Rfam's summary of the family: Bacterial tmRNA, also known as 10Sa RNA or SsrA, is named for its dual tRNA and mRNA-like properties. Its role is to liberate the mRNA from a stalled ribosome. Lineage: Bacteria; Bacillati; Bacillota; Clostridia; Eubacteriales; Oscillospiraceae. RNAcentral also lists the same sequence under 1 other name. The record is from RNAcentral.
GGGGGCGUAAAGGUUUCGACGGGGGUCUUGAAGUGUGAUAAGCGAGCGGAGAACGGCCUGAUCUCCAUAACCUCGGCCACGUUUAAAUAUAAACGCUAGAAAUAACAUUACUGUAAGCAGAAACGCUGUACAGGUAGCUGCUUAAGUCAGCUACUGCCCCCCGCAUGAGUACCACGGCCUGCGGCUGGGCAUCGACUUAGUGGUGAACGUCCCGAAGGCGUGUCCGUGCCUUCCGGAUGUAUACGGACUACUCCGCUGCGGAGCCCGUUUAUCGGCGCCGCUCCGGGGGAAUUUAAGUAGGUAAAAUACGCUCGUAGAAAGUUGCAUGAACGGACUUUCGGACAGGGGUUCAAUUCCCCUCGCCUCCACCA